Molecule: ribosomal RNA, 253 nt
Filed under: uncultured bacterium
Lineage: Bacteria
Description: partial 16S ribosomal RNA
Rfam family: Bacterial small subunit ribosomal RNA
Source: RNAcentral
AACGUAGGAGGCAAGCGUUAUCCGGAGUUACUGGGCGUAAAGAGCUCGUAGGCGGUUUGUCGCGUCUGCUGUGAAAACUCGGGGCUUAACUCCGGGCCUGCAGUGGGUACGGGCAGACUAGAGUGCGGUAGGGGAGACUGGAAUUCCUGGUGUAGCGGUGAAAUGCGCAGAUAUCAGGAGGAACACCGGUGGCGAAGGCGGGUCACUGGCCCGGUACUGACGCUGAGGCACGAAAGCGUGGGGAGCAAACAGG